This 779-nucleotide ribosomal RNA is filed under the name uncultured Neocallimastigales. RNAcentral's name for it is "partial large subunit ribosomal RNA". It matches the Rfam family "Eukaryotic large subunit ribosomal RNA", at positions 24 to 628 of the family's 3401-position model. Lineage: Eukaryota; Fungi; Neocallimastigomycota; Neocallimastigomycetes; Neocallimastigales. The record is from RNAcentral.
UAUCUCUGUAGAGUCUGCAUAUCAAUAAGCGGAGGAAAAGAAACUAACUAGGAUUCCCUUAGUAACGGCGAGUGAAGCGGGAAGAGCUCAAAUUUGAAAUCUUCAAGGUUUUACCUUGACGAAUUGUAGUUUAAAGAAGUGUUUUCUGUUGGUGUUUUGGUAAAAGUUCUUUGGAAUAGGACAUCAUAGAGGGUGAGAAUCCCGUAUUUGACCAUUACUUUCCAGCUUUGUGAUACACUUUCAAAGAGUCGGAUUGUUUCGGGAAUGCAGUCCAAAAUGGGUGGUAAAUUUCAUCUAAAGCUAAAUACUGGCGAGAGACCGAUAGCGAACAAGUACCGUGAGGGAAAGAUGAAAAGAACUUUGAAAAGAGAGUUAAACAGUACGUGAAAUUGUCAAAAGGGAAGCGUUUGACACCAGGUGUUGUUUUCUCGAAAAUCAAUUAAAAAAGGCAGGAUUUUGUGUUGUACUUGACUUUAUCAGCUUUCUGCACUCUUUUCUUGUCUUUUUUUAAUGCACUUUUCGUUUAACAAGUCGACAUCAAUUUCUUUUGUUGUAAAAGGGUCAUUGGAAGGUGGCUUUCUUUUCGGAGAAAGUGUUUAUAGCCUUUGGCCUCUGCAAUCGGAGAGAUUGAGGUCUGCAGCGUAGAUCCUUCGGGGUUAGAUACAUUUGUGCUAAGUUAUAGCCUUUCAUAGACAACUUGUUGACUAUGAUCAGUCAUGUAGCUUACUCGCUUAUGCUAUUUUACCUACGCUUAGGAUGUUGACGAUCAGCUGAGCGCG